UCGACGGUAACGGAAGCAGCUUGCUGCUUCGCUGACGAGUGGCGGACGGGUGAGUAAUGUCUGGGAAACUGCCUGAUGGAGGGGGAUAACUACUGGAAACGGUGGCUAAUACCGCAUAACGUCGCAAGACCAAAGAGGGGGACCUUCGGGCCUCUUGCCAUCAGAUGUGCCCAGAUGGGAUUAGCUAGUUGGUGAGGUAACGGCUCACCAAGGCGACGAUCCCUAGCUGGUCUGAGAGGAUGACCAGCCACACUGGAACUGAGACACGGUCCAGACUCCUACGGGAGGCAGCAGUGGGGAAUAUUGCACAAUGGGCGCAAGCCUGAUGCAGCCAUGCCGCGUGUAUGAAGAAGGCCUUCGGGUUGUAAAGUACUUUCAGCGGGGAGGAAGGUGUUGUGGUUAAUAACCGCAGCAAUUGACGUUACCCGCAGAAGAAGCACCGGCUAACUCCGUGCCAGCAGCCGCGGUAAUACGGAGGGUGCAAGCGUUAAUCGGAAUUACUGGGCGUAAAGCGCACGCAGGCGGUCUGUCAAGUCGGAUGUGAAAUCCCCGGGCUCAACCUGGGAACUGCAUUCGAAACUGGCAGGCUUGAGUCUUGUAGAGGGGGGUAGAAUUCCAGGUGUAGCGGUGAAAUGCGUAGAGAUCUGGAGGAAUACCGGUGGCGAAGGCGGCCCCCUGGACAAAGACUGACGCUCANGUGCGAAAGCGUGGGGAGCAANCAGGAUUAGAUACCCUGGUAGUCCACGCCGUAAGCGAUGUCUACUUGGAGGUUGUGCCCUUGAGG
Molecule: ribosomal RNA, 784 nt
Filed under: uncultured bacterium
Lineage: Bacteria
Description: bacterial SSU rRNA
Rfam family: Bacterial small subunit ribosomal RNA
Source: RNAcentral